CCUAUAAAUCUACUUUUAUUCAUAGAUUUUAACUGAUAUAACGUUAAAUGCCAUCAAAGAGGAGUAGUGUUUUGUAUUUUUGUAGGUUUUCUCUUUCAAUUUAAUAAAUAAAUGCUCUGUUUGGUUAAUUAGCUCAAAAGCAGUCUCAGAGGUGGUCUAAGGUAACGGUAACUGUUAAAAUCGAAUAUAACCUUACCUAGUUUAAAUUAUUUGAAAUUUAUCACUAUAAACUAUACAGUGUUAACUUUCUAAUAAUUUAAUUUUUAACCGUAGUAACGUUAAUUAGUUUGUUUGAAUACCUGCUGCUCGAGCUUGAUGAUGCUCAUGCUAUCCAUGCUGUGAACUUGAAUAUAAACCGAUAGAACGUUAAAUAUAAAGUUUAACGUUAAUUAGACCGAGGCUGCCGAAAUCAUGUUCAGUGUAACGUUAUGUGGGAUUAAUAAUUUCCCCUUUUCUCCCUCAAGUGGCAGGCUUGUAAAUUCUGUCAUCUGUUCAUUAUUGGUGUUGAUGGUGUUUUUCACAUGCAUGCUUUUUAAUGCUAGUUUAAUUCUCAAAUUGAUCUGAUACUUUCGUUCCACAAAAAGUAAACACAUUUUUCACUUUCUUAGGGCCUGACAACCACCAGUUGAGUCCAUGAUUCAGGGAAGAGACAGUCUGGGCAGCAGCAACAAGACAACUAUUACAAGUAGAGAUGGGUUUCAAGAACUGGUACUAAUUUGGUUCCUGACUUGUUCAGUACUGAAAACAUUUACAUAAGGUACAGGAUCAAUAGUGCUGCUAUCAGUAUUCUUGUAACAUUGAUUCAUUACCCUUUAGACACAACCACAUAUCCUCCAAAUCAUCUCUGCGUGGAUGGCAGCAAGGAUCCAGGAUCAAGAGAUCAUUCAUCAUGGAGACUGUUCCACAGGAAGCAGUUUCUCCUGGGUCAUCCUGACCAUUCUGCUGUUCUGGAUGUAAGGCCGUGCUGCAACUACAUUUCUCGUGGUUGAAAGAUUUGUGGAGCGGUAUCCAGACAUAUAACGCCCCAUCACACGGGGCGUCAACGCCUCUCGUUUACUUUUAAAUGAAGUGACGUCAAGGAUGGUGAAAUUAAUUCUAGAAAUUAAUUCUAAAUAGAAGUUGAAGACUUCUCAAGCGCCAAUGCAGCCGUCCUCCAGUCAGA
Carassius gibelio (silver crucian carp) is the source of this 1162-nucleotide long non-coding RNA. RefSeq lists it as uncharacterized. The transcript has 3 exons. The record is from RefSeq and is a predicted model, not a curated record. NCBI's taxonomy places the organism in Eukaryota, Metazoa, Chordata, Actinopteri, Cypriniformes, Cyprinidae.